This 497-nucleotide ribosomal RNA is filed under the name uncultured bacterium. Its description in RNAcentral is "partial 16S ribosomal RNA". It matches the Rfam family "Bacterial small subunit ribosomal RNA", at positions 28 to 507 of the family's 1533-position model. The record is from RNAcentral.
GAUGGACGCUGGCGGCGUGCCUAAUACAUGCCAGUCGAGCGAACAGACGAGGAGCUUGCUCCUCUGACGUUAGCGGCGGACGGGUGAGUAACACGUGGAUAACCUACCUAUAAGACUGGGAUAACCUCGGGAAACCGGAGCUAAUACCGGAUAAUAUAUUGAACCGCAUGGUUCAAUAGUGAAAGACGGUUUUGCUGUCACUUAUAGAUGGAUCCGCGCCGCAUUAGCUAGUUGGUAAGGUAACGGCUUACCAAGGCAACGAUGCGUAGCCGACCUGAGAGGGUGAUCGGCCACACUGGAACUGAGACACGGUCCAGACUCCUACGGGAGGCAGCAGUAGGGAAUCUUCCGCAAUGGGCGAAAGCCUGACGGAGCAACGCCGCGUGAGUGAUGAAGGUCUUCGGAUCGUAAAACUCUGUUAUUAGGGAAGAACAAAUGUGUAAGUAACUAUGCACGUCUUGACGGUACCUAAUCAGAAAGCCACGGCUAACUACGUG